AACGAACGCUGGCGGCAUGCCUAACACAUGCAAGUCGAACGAGACCUUCGGGUCUAGUGGCGCACGGGUGCGUAACGCGUGGGAACCUGCCCUUAGGUUCGGAAUAACUCCCCGAAAGGGGUGCUAAUACCGGAUAAUGUCUUCGGACCAAAGAUUUAUCGCCUUUGGAUGGGCCCGCGUUGGAUUAGCUAGUUGGUAGGGUAAAAGCCUACCAAGGCGACGAUCCAUAGCUGGUCUGAGAGGAUGAUCAGCCACACUGGGACUGAGACACGGCCCAGACUCCUACGGGAAACAGCAGUGGGGAAUAUUGGACAAUGGGCGAAAGCCUGAUCCAGCAAUGCCGCGUGAGUGAUGAAGGCCUUAGGGUUGUAAAGCUCUUUUACCCGGGAUGAUAAUGACAGUACCGGGAGAAUAAGCUCCGGCUAACUCCGUG
RNAcentral lists this ribosomal RNA (433 nucleotides) under uncultured bacterium. Its description in RNAcentral is "partial 16S ribosomal RNA". It matches the Rfam family "Bacterial small subunit ribosomal RNA", at positions 29 to 507 of the family's 1533-position model. The record is from RNAcentral.